This 252-nucleotide ribosomal RNA is filed under the name uncultured bacterium. RNAcentral describes it as "partial 16S ribosomal RNA". It matches the Rfam family "Bacterial small subunit ribosomal RNA", at positions 524 to 776 of the family's 1533-position model. The record is from RNAcentral.
UAUGUAGGUCCCGAGCGUUGUCCGGAUUUAUUGGGCGUAAAGCGAGCGCAGGUGGUUUAUUAAGUCUGGUGUAAAAGGCAGUGGCUCAACCAUUGUAUGCAUUGGAAACUGGUAGACUUGAGUGCGGGAGAGGAGAGUGGAAUUCCAUGUGUAGCGGUGAAAUGCGUAGAUAUAUGGAGGAACACCGGUGGCGAAAGCGGCUCUCUGGCCUGUAACUGACACUGAGGCUCGAAAGCGUGGGGAGCAAACAGG